RNAcentral lists this ribosomal RNA (253 nucleotides) under uncultured bacterium. RNAcentral's name for it is "partial 16S ribosomal RNA". It matches the Rfam family "Bacterial small subunit ribosomal RNA", at positions 524 to 776 of the family's 1533-position model. The record is from RNAcentral.
UACGUAGGUGGCUAGCGUUGUCCGGAUUUACUGGGCGUAAAGAGCGCGCAGGCGGUCGUUCAAGUCGAGUGUGAAAGCCCCCGGCUCAACUGGGGAGGGUCACUCGAUACUGAUCGACUUGAAGGCGGGAGAGGGAAGCGGAAUUCCCGGUGUAGUGGUGGAAUGCGUAGAUAUCGGGAGGAACACCAGUGGCGAAGGCGGUUGCCUGGGGCUGUGCUGACGCUGAUGCGCGAAAGCGUGGGGAGCGAUCCGG